UACGGGGGGGGCAAGCGUUGUUCGGAAUUACUGGGCGUAAAGGGCUCGUAGGCGGCCAACUAAGUCACACGUGAAAUCCCUCGGCUCAACCGGGGAACUGCGUGUGAGACUGGAUGGCUUGAGUUUGGGAGAGGAAUGCGGAAUUCCAGGUGUAGCGGUGAAAUGCGUAGAUAUCUGGAGGAACACCGGUGGCGAAGGCGGCUACCUGGACAGAAACUGACGCUGAGGCGCGAAAGCUAGGGGAGCAAACAGG
This 253-nucleotide ribosomal RNA is filed under the name uncultured bacterium. RNAcentral describes it as "partial 16S ribosomal RNA". It matches the Rfam family "Bacterial small subunit ribosomal RNA", at positions 524 to 776 of the family's 1533-position model. The record is from RNAcentral.